GUAUAAGGUUUAUUGGACAGUGAAGUCCGAUAAUAACAUUCAUAGACAUACUGAUGGUGUAUAUAAAGACAUAGACCGGAAAUGUAAGGAAAGCCGACUUUGACGCACAGCAAUCCUCAAACCGAGUUUUCCUCGAGAGAUAUCCAGGUCUACAAAAGGUGCACAGGUGGUAAAAGAAAGGUUGGCGUUAGGUGUGCACAUGCUCCAAAAAGCCAGCAACAACCCAACCAAGCUUAUUCAAUAAUGAUCCUUCCGCAGGUUCACCUACGGAAA
Molecule: unclassified non-coding RNA, 273 nt
Filed under: uncultured fungus
Lineage: Eukaryota; Fungi
Description: sequence contains ITS1
Source: RNAcentral